Molecule: ribosomal RNA, 439 nt
Filed under: uncultured bacterium
Lineage: Bacteria
Description: partial 16S ribosomal RNA
Rfam family: Bacterial small subunit ribosomal RNA
Source: RNAcentral
CUACGGGUGGCAGCAGUGAGGAAUAUUGCACAACGGGGGGAACCCUGAUGCAGCAACGCCGCGUGGAGGAUGACGCAUUUCGGUGUGUAAACUCCUUUUAUAUGUCAAGAAAAUGACGGUAGCAUAUGAAUAAGCACCGGCUAACUCCGUGCCAGCAGCCGCGGUAAUACGGAGGGUGCAAGCGUUACUCGGAAUCACUGGGCGUAAAGGACGCGUAGGCGGGUUGGAAAGUCAGGUGUGAAAUCCUACAGCUUAACUGUAGAACUGCACUUGAAACUUCUAAUCGAGAGUAUGCGAAGGGGAGAUGGAAUUAGUGGUGUAGGGGUAAAAUCCGUAGAUAUCACUAGGAAUACCUAAAGCGAAGGCGAUCUCCUGGAACAUUACUGACGCUAAGGCGUGAAAGCGUGGGGAGCAAACAGGAUUAGAUACCCCAGUAGUC